CGGGCCAUUGCCUUCCGAGCCCACUA
This 26-nucleotide non-coding RNA is filed under the name Arabidopsis thaliana (thale cress). Lineage: Eukaryota; Viridiplantae; Streptophyta; Magnoliopsida; Brassicales; Brassicaceae. The record is from RNAcentral.